GCGUCCUUAGCUCAGUUGGUUAGAGCGUUGCAUUGACAUUGCAGAGGUCACUAGUUCGAAUCUAGUAGGACGCA
Balneola sp. EhC07 is the source of this 74-nucleotide transfer RNA. It matches the Rfam family "tRNA". Rfam says of the family: Transfer RNA (tRNA) molecules are approximately 80 nucleotides in length. The record is from Rfam. NCBI's taxonomy places the organism in Bacteria, Pseudomonadati, Balneolota, Balneolia, Balneolales, Balneolaceae.